RNAcentral lists this ribosomal RNA (493 nucleotides) under uncultured bacterium. Its description in RNAcentral is "partial 16S ribosomal RNA". It matches the Rfam family "Bacterial small subunit ribosomal RNA", at positions 28 to 523 of the family's 1533-position model. The record is from RNAcentral.
GAUGAACGCUGGCGGCGUGCCUAACACAUGCAAGUCGAACGAGGCACCUUUUAAGAUUCUUCGGAUGAUUGAUUGGUGACUGAGUGGCGGACGGGUGAGUAACGCGUGGGUAACCUGCCCUGUACAGGGGGAUAACAGUUGGAAACGGCUGCUAAUACCGCAUAAGCGCACGAGAGGACAUCCUCUUGUGUGAAAAACUCCGGUGGUACAGGAUGGGCCCGCGUCUGAUUAGCUGGUUGGCAGGGCAACGGCCUACCAAGGCGACGAUCAGUAGCCGGUCUGAGAGGAUGAACGGCCACAUUGGAACUGAGACACGGUCCAAACUCCUACGGGAGGCAGCAGUGGGGAAUAUUGCACAAUGGGGGAAACCCUGAUGCAGCAACGCCGCGUGAGUGAAGAAGUAUUUCGGUAUGUAAAGCUCUAUCAGCAGGGAAGAUAAUGACGGUACCUGACUAAGAAGCUCCGGCUAAAUACGUGCCAGCCGCCGCCGCAG